Molecule: ribosomal RNA, 340 nt
Filed under: uncultured bacterium
Lineage: Bacteria
Description: bacterial SSU rRNA
Rfam family: Bacterial small subunit ribosomal RNA
Source: RNAcentral
UUGGGUGCGGAAUAACUUCUCGAAGGGAUGCUAAUACCGCAUAAUGUCGUAAGACCAAAGAUUUAUCGCCCAAGGAUGAGCCCGCGUAAGAUUAGCUAGUUGGUGGGGUAAAAGCCUACCAAGGCGACGAUCUUUAGCUGGUCUGAGAGGAUGAUCAGCCACACUGGGACUGAGACACGGCCCAGACUCCUACGGGAGGCAGCAGUGGGGAAUAUUGGACAAUGGGCGAAAGCCUGAUCCAGCAAUGCCGCGUGAGUGAUGAAGGCCCUAGGGUUGUAAAGCUCUUUUACCAGGGAUGAUAAUGACAGUACCUGGAGAAUAAGCUCCGGCUAACUCCGUG